This is a long non-coding RNA of Herpailurus yagouaroundi (jaguarundi), 907 nucleotides long. RefSeq lists it as uncharacterized. The record is from RefSeq and is a predicted model, not a curated record. The transcript has 2 exons. NCBI's taxonomy places the organism in Eukaryota, Metazoa, Chordata, Mammalia, Carnivora, Felidae.
UUUUCUGUCCUCUCCUCCUCCCUUUUACACCUCCAUUGGCUCAACCAGUUACUAUGACCUGACUUCUGAGCCAUUCUGGCUCUCCACACCGGCCUAGAGCUGGCCCCGGGUCACAGUGGGGGGCAUGGCCACCCAGGACCUGUCUAAGGCUCCAGGCUGUCCCUCCUUCCUCCCGGCCUUCAGAACUCAAGAACCACCAAAGCCCCUCAUACAAGGCUCACAAGUAACAACCCGGUUCCUGAAUACAUGAUGGCAGGACCCGGAGUUCUCCACUCUUGCCCCUGCCUGCUUCCAGAAUUAGGACUGCGAUAGGUACACACUGGCCCUAAAAACAGUUUCCGGAUCAUUUCUCCCACGCCAGCCUCUGCAGCUUUCUGUAUCUCUGCAGUGGCCCCUGUGGGCUGGCAAGUGUCUCACUGUAAGCAUUAUCCAUGGGAUACGUCCUCGUGGGACGUAUCCUGACCUUAAAUAACUAAUAACCCUGACCUUAAAUAACUAAUCUUCCCAUGAGGCCAUGUUGCCAGUCCCCACGAACCAUCUCACUUCAGCCCUCAGUGCCUCCUCUCCCUGGACCACAGCAUCAGGAUCACAGCACCAGAGUCUCGGUCCCUCACCCCACUCUGAAUCAUCCGGCACAUGCCAUGGGAGAGGUCUUCCUCUAGCUCAGCCAUGAGCAUGCUACUCCCCCACUAACACGCAACAGAUCCCAGUUGCUACGGGACCAAAAAUAGUCCAAACUAAGGCCCCUUCUAGCCUCCUCGUGCUGUGAUUCCUCAGGACGACACGCACGGCCCUGUGACUUGGCCCCACGUUACUUUUCCAGCCUAAGGUCUUCCUCUGUGUCAGUCAUUCACGUCAUCAUUUCAGCGAGAACUUUCUUGGCACCAGGCGCUGUGCAAAGCUCUUU